CACGUAGGGCGCGAGCGUUGUCCGGAAUUAUUGGGCGUAAAGAGCUCGUAGGCGGCCUGUUGCGUCCGCUGUGAAAGCCCGGGGCUUAACCCCGGGUCGGCAGUGGAUACGGGCAGGCUAGAGGUAGGUAGGGGAGAAUGGAAUUCCCGGUGUAGCGGUGAAAUGCGCAGAUAUCGGGAGGAGCACCGGUGGCGAAGGCGGUUCUCUGGGCCUUACCUGACGCUGAGGAGCGAAAGCGUGGGGAGCGAACAGG
This 253-nucleotide ribosomal RNA is filed under the name uncultured bacterium. RNAcentral's name for it is "partial 16S ribosomal RNA". It matches the Rfam family "Bacterial small subunit ribosomal RNA", at positions 524 to 776 of the family's 1533-position model. The record is from RNAcentral.